RNAcentral lists this ribosomal RNA (253 nucleotides) under uncultured bacterium. RNAcentral's name for it is "partial 16S ribosomal RNA". It matches the Rfam family "Bacterial small subunit ribosomal RNA", at positions 524 to 776 of the family's 1533-position model. The record is from RNAcentral.
GACGUAGGGCGCGAGCGUUGUCCGGAUUUAUUGGGCGUAAAGAGCUCGUAGGCGGCUUGUUGCGUCAGCUGUGAAAACCCGCAGCUCAACUGUGGGCUUGCAGCUGAUACGGGCAGGCUUGAGUUCGGUAGGGGAGACUGGAAUUCCUGGUGUAGCGGUGAAAUGCGCAGAUAUCAGGAAGAACACCUAUGGCGAAGGCAGCACUCUGGGACGGUACUGACGCUGAGACGCGAAAGCGUGGGGAGCGAACAGG